UACAAACAACUCCAAAAAAAUCAUGAUCAUGACACGCUUUUGUGAUUUGAUAUCAAUUUUGCUUGUUUUAUAAGCCCUUUCUAUGACAAGAAUAGCACAUCACCGGUUCCGACCACUCUGAGGCAAACAGCCUCAGGAUUAAAAGGUAAGUGUUUAGAGUAUUAUUUCAGAGGUCUAGGUGGAUUGGGGUGAUAUCAAGAUUCAAAUGUCGGAUAAUUCUGAUCAUAUCUAGUGUAGUACUUCAACACGUCCAAUUGAAGAAAAAAUUGUCAUAAUUUGUUGUUGUUAAGCUUCGAAAGAAACUAUGGAAAAGUAUGUGAGAGCUGCAUCACUUUGCUACUUCAUUGUAUAUGCGAAUUGACAAUACAAAACAUGAUUGUUUUAUUUUAGAUUAGCAGUGAAUCUGUAGAGAGAAUGCUAUAAUAAUGAUAACCUCAGUGUUUGUUUUCUAUCACUAAGACCAUCGUAUAGCCCUGUCAUGAGACUCGUCACAGCAGACAUCUAGAAGUAGACAAGCACUCACCCGAUUGGGUAGGAGGGAUGGGGGCCUUGCGAAGAAGGAGAAAAAAACCCCGAUGUGGGUACACAUCAGCCCUCACAAUUCGUCGCGACCCUGUGAGGCUUAUCUGUGACCCCAUCGUGACAUGCCUGCAGUCACGUGACAUCUCGACCCUCAGAGCGCGGCCACCACAUCGCUUUUUAAACGCCGCUGGGAAUUCGUGACAACAAACAGAAUCAGUCCACGCUGCCUCUCAGCCUGCAGCCAGAGGAUCCACCUUUCACCUGCUGUCAUCAUCAGAUCAGGUAGUACUUAUGACGAGAAAGGUAACCUGCGGCAGUGGUGGCAAAAGGACGAUCUAAAGACCUUCGAAAGUCGAACUCAGUGCAUGGUGGAUCAGUACAGUCAGUUCGUGGACAAGGAGCUGAAUAUGACCGUCGAUGGCCGCCAGACUAUAGAUGAAAACAUCGCGGACUCUGUAGGAAUUAAAAAGGCCUUCAGGGCAUAUCGCAGUGUUAUCACAGAGAGAGGCCAAGAAGAGAACAAGUACCCGACACUACCGUACUCGCAGAACCAGAUCUUCUUUAUCGGCUUUGCACAAAAUUGGUGCAUUAAUGCAGUGCCGGGUGCUCGUGCGUUCAUGCUAAGGUACCACGUCCACAGUCCAGGUUACAUAAGGAGAAGCCAGAAAACGAGGACAGAGCGAGGACUAACCCUACAAACAAGAAAUCAGAUACAGAGAGCGUCACACGACGAGAUUUGAACCCGAGGCUUUCCCUGCAUAGUCAUGGGUCUCUGCACAUCGCAACUCAUCUUCCACGAUCCACCGACCAGCCACCAACUCGGUCACCGCUGGACUUUUGAGCAUGAAGAGGAAGGAAGAAGUGGAACAAGCAUCUCCUGCCAAACGAACAAGACGAGCUGUAGCUGGUCAAUGAUAUACCUAUGUUUAGGAGUUACUUUGUUUGAUUUUUAUGUCAACAACAUUCCAGAUGACCCCAGAGGCAGCUGUGCCAAUUAAAAUGAAAAACAAUAACCCCAAACUGGAAAUGUUACUGUCAACUUCAUUGGAAAUCACAUUCUUGCCAUGCACUUUUUCUUGUUUUCUCCUUUAAACCUUUAUUUUUUUGGCUCCAUUUCAAUCCUGGCUACCUUUUCGUACACUGCCAUGUCCCAAACUAGAGUACAAAAUGCUUUGUGCAAGCUAUUUAUAAACAGGUGAAAGGAAUGAGGGCAAAAAUGGACAUACAGAGAAGAGACUGCAGCUGAUUUGAAUGGAAAUAUGUACAAGUUCAUUUGUUAUGCUGUUUAUAAAAUAUAAAUCACAUUUUACUAAAUUAAUGUAGUAGAUUAAUGUUUUAUAACAAUUAUAUAUGACAAAGAGGAAAGUUGAAGGAUAAUUGCAAAGUGUGUGUGUGGUUUCAUUCAAAUGUGAAAACAUGUCUUCGUUCUUAUGACAGAAUGAUAGUCUCUAAAUGAGAAAUACUGUGCAGAUGUAUACUUACAUUUGUGCAUUUUGUGCAUAAAGAAAGCAUGAGAAGGUCAACUGUCAAUGUGCAGUGUUAAUUCAACCAAAACUUGCCAAAAGUGAUCAGAUAUUUGCUAUUUAUGUUGCAUCAGAAAAAAUUUGGUUUAUAUUUAUUUGCAUUUUUUAAAUUCUUUGCUUUGCAGCAGACAAACUGAAUACAGUCAUAAAUGACCAAAUAUGAUUGCCAAGUGCUCCUUUAAAGCUGAAAGGUUAAAGCUUAUUCCUCUGCUGAUUCUAGAUGCUUAGCCUACAUCAAGCCUUACACCAUACUCCCCCAAAAAAAGAAGAAAAAUGUCUAACAAAUCUAACAGCACAAAUGAUCCACAGAAAAUUUAUACAAAUUGCUGUGCCUUGAAGAUAAACCAUAACCGACAGGCAUGAAAAAUUGGUUGGAGAAAGAAGCAACAGAUCAUCACAAAUUUCUAGGCAAAGAAGAUUUAUAACUGAUAUGACUGUCUUUUGUCAUUUGUGCACUACUGAGGUUUUCAUGAUCUUUUAUAAUGGUCCUCUGUUAUCACAACUAUGACAUAGGCACAAACUGUUGAUAAAUACAGCCAUAACAGUCCAAUAAUAAUCUCCAGCAUAUUAUAGCUGUUCACUGUGAAAUGAGAACAUUGUUAAGGGUGAAUGAACAUGUCACAAACCAUUUUCUGUUAUAAAGGCAAAGUAUAUUAUUACCUGACCCAAUUUUGGCAAACAUAUAUCUGGCUGUUUCAAAAUUUUAUCAAUUAAUGAAGCUAUUUUACUAGAGGCCCAACAAGCAGUCUUUUACAGAGGAACAUGUGGAAGAGUUGUCAACCCUAUUUUGAAAAUGAACUGUGGGUUCAUAAACACUGAUAUCUAAUGACACCCUCAGUGUGAGCAUUUAAGAAAUGAAUCCUAUUUUGCGUGCGCUCAGAAAACGGCAUGAUGAAAAUAAACACAUCUGUUAAUAAAAAUGUGUUACUAAAAUCUGGUUCAUUUACAACCUUGACAUUUCAUAAUAUUAGCACUAUUGUUUACUCUUGGUAUGUGACAUUGCUUUCCAUUUGUGACUUAUUUAUGUGAAGGUUGUGCCUUACAAUUCUGCUGUCUAUUUUGUGUGUGUAUGUGGGGGGAGGGGGAGUGGUGGUGGUGUGUGUGUGAGAGAGAGAACGCAAUCUAAAGGAAUCUCAUACACAGCUGUAUCGGGCACCUAUUUUUACUUUUUUAUUUGUACUAGUUUGUACACUAUAUAGAUUCUGUUUGUGCUUUCAUUUUUAUUAUUAAAUGUGAAAGUGUCCACAAUUGUGGAUAAUAAAUAAUGUCAAUUGAA
This 3321-nucleotide unclassified non-coding RNA is filed under the name Pomacea canaliculata. Its description in RNAcentral is "neprilysin-1-like, transcript variant X3". Lineage: Eukaryota; Metazoa; Mollusca; Gastropoda; Architaenioglossa; Ampullariidae. The record is from RNAcentral.